GCUGGGCACAGUGGUGUGUGCCUGUAGUCCCAGCUACUCUGGAGGCUGAAAUGGGAGGAUCACUUGAGCCCAGGAGUUCUAGGCUGUAGUGCGCUAUGCCAAUCGGGUGUCUGCACUCAGUUCGGCAUCAAUAUGGUGACCUCCCGGGCAAGGUGGCUCACACCUGUAAUCCCAGCACUUUGGGAGGCUGAAGUGGGCAGAUCACCUGAGGUCAGGAGUUUGAGACCAGCCUGGCCAACAUGAUGAAAACCCAUCUCU
This 258-nucleotide signal recognition particle RNA is filed under the name Saimiri boliviensis boliviensis (Bolivian squirrel monkey). Its description in RNAcentral is "Metazoan signal recognition particle RNA (ENSSBOG00000001683.1)". It matches the Rfam family "Metazoan signal recognition particle RNA". From Rfam's summary of the family: The signal recognition particle (SRP) is a universally conserved ribonucleoprotein. It is involved in the co-translational targeting of proteins to membranes. Lineage: Eukaryota; Metazoa; Chordata; Mammalia; Primates; Cebidae. The record is from RNAcentral.